UACGAAGGGGGCUAGCGUUGCUCGGAAUCACUGGGCGUAAAGCGCACGUAGGCGGAUCUUUAAGUCAGGGGUGAAAUCCUGGAGCUCAACUCCAGAACUGCCUUUGAUACUGGGGAUCUCGAGUCCGGGAGAGGUGAGUGGAACUGCGAGUGUAGAGGUGAAAUUCGUAGAUAUUCGGAAGAACACCAGUGGCGAAGGCGACUUACUGGACACAUAUUGACGCUGAGGUGCGAAAGCGUGGGGAGCAAACAGG
Molecule: ribosomal RNA, 253 nt
Filed under: uncultured bacterium
Lineage: Bacteria
Description: partial 16S ribosomal RNA
Rfam family: Bacterial small subunit ribosomal RNA
Source: RNAcentral